Molecule: ribosomal RNA, 468 nt
Filed under: uncultured bacterium
Lineage: Bacteria
Description: partial 16S ribosomal RNA
Rfam family: Bacterial small subunit ribosomal RNA
Source: RNAcentral
GACGAACGCUGGCGGCGUGCUUAACACAUGCGAGUCGAACGGAAAGGCCCUGCUUUUGUGGGGUGCUCGAGUGGCGAACGGGUGAGUAACACGUGAGUAACCUGCCCUUGACUUUGGGAUAACUUCAGGAAACUGGGGCUAAUACCGGAUAGGAGCUCCUGCUGCAUGGUGGGGGUUGGAAAGUUUCGGCGGUUGGGGAUGGACUCGCGGCUUAUCAGCUUGUUGGUGGGGUAGUGGCUUACCAAGGCUUUGACGGGUAGCCGGCCUGAGAGGGUGACCGGCCACAUUGGGACUGAGAUACGGCCCAGACUCCUACGGGAGGCAGCAGUGGGGAAUAUUGCACAAUGGGCGGAAGCCUGAUGCAGCAACGCCGCGUGCGGGAUGACGGCCUUCGGGUUGUAAACCGCUUUCGCCUGUGACGAAGCGUGAGUGACGGUAAUGGGUAAAGAAGCACCGGCAAACUACGUG